AGUGAACGCUGGCGGUAGGCCUAACACAUGCAAGUCGAACGGCAGCACAGUAAGAGCUUGCUCUUACGGGUGGCGAGUGGCGGACGGGUGAGGAAUACAUCGGAAUCUACUUUUUCGUGGGGGAUAACGUAGGGAAACUUACGCUAAUACCGCAUACGACCUACGGGUGAAAGCAGGGGAUCUUCGGACCUUGCGCGAUUGAAUGAGCCGAUGUCGGAUUAGCUAGUUGGCGGGGUAAAGGCCCACCAAGGCGACGAUCCGUAGCUGGUCUGAGAGGAUGACCAGCCACACUGGAACUGAGACACGGUCCAGACUCCUACGGGAGGCAGCAGUGGGGAAUAUUGGACAAUGGGCGCAAGCCUGAUCCAGCCAUGCCGCGUGGGUGAAGAAGGCCUUCGGGUUGUAAAGCCCUUUUGUUGGGAAAGAAAAGCAGCAGGUUAAUACCCCGCUGUUCUGACGGUACCCAAAGAAUAAGCACCGGCUAACUUCGUG
RNAcentral lists this ribosomal RNA (492 nucleotides) under uncultured bacterium. RNAcentral's name for it is "partial 16S ribosomal RNA". It matches the Rfam family "Bacterial small subunit ribosomal RNA", at positions 29 to 507 of the family's 1533-position model. The record is from RNAcentral.